CGUAAGACGAAGCCGUAGCGAAAGCGAGUCCGAAAUGGGCGCACAGUCGCUGGGAGUAGACCCGAAACCCGGUGAUCUACCCAUGUCCAGGAUGAAACGAGGGUAAAACCUCGUGGAGGUCCGAACUCACUACAAGUUGAAAAUGUAGGGGAUGAGGUGUGGGUCGGAGUGAAAGGCUAAUCAAACCGGGAGAUAGCUGGUUCUCGCCGAAAGAUAUUUAGGUAUCGCCUCGGAAAACUCUGUCGAGGAGGUAGAGCACUGGAUGGGGCUAGGGGUCUUACCAGAUUACCAAACCCCAACCAAAACUCCUAAUGCCUCGACAUUUACUCCGGGAGUCAGGCUGUGGAGCUAAGUUCCAUGGCCAAAAGGGAAAGAGCCCAGACCGCCAGCUAAGGUCCCUAAGUCGUUGCUAAGUGGUAAGGAUGUGGAAGCACACAGACAACCAGGAGGUUGGCUUAGAAGCAGCCAUCCUUUUAAAGAAAGCGUAAUAGCUCACUGGUCAAGUGAGUCCGCGCCGAAAAUUUAACGGGGC
This 532-nucleotide ribosomal RNA is filed under the name uncultured bacterium. RNAcentral's name for it is "bacterial LSU rRNA". It matches the Rfam family "Bacterial large subunit ribosomal RNA", at positions 654 to 1181 of the family's 2925-position model. The record is from RNAcentral.